UACGGAGGGUGCAAGCGUUAUCCGGAUUUACUGGGUUUAAAGGGUGCGUAGGUGGGUAAGUAAGUCAGUGGUGAAAUCUUCGAGCUUAACUCGGAAACUGCCAUUGAUACUAUUUAUCUUGAAUACUUUGGAGGUAAGCGGAAUAUGUCAUGUAGCGGUGAAAUGCUUAGAUAUUGUGAGGAACACUAGUGGCGAAGGCGAGACUCUGGACAGUUCCUGACGCUGAGGCACGAAGGCCAGGGGAGCAAACGGG
This 253-nucleotide ribosomal RNA is filed under the name uncultured bacterium. RNAcentral describes it as "partial 16S ribosomal RNA". It matches the Rfam family "Bacterial small subunit ribosomal RNA", at positions 524 to 776 of the family's 1533-position model. The record is from RNAcentral.